Non-coding RNA from Cinara cedri, 1450 nucleotides. The record is from the annotation of a GenBank genome assembly. NCBI's taxonomy places the organism in Eukaryota, Metazoa, Arthropoda, Insecta, Hemiptera, Aphididae.
GUUAAUAUUUCAUCCGGUAAAAUGUUUUGCCGAAAUUGCAUAGGAGUUUUUUCAAUGGUACACUGGAAGUUUUCUAAUUUCACCAAGAGCAUUUUCGUACACCUUGAGUGUAGGUGUAACACAAGAGAGGUUUUGUUUUUUUGGUUUUUCUUAAUUCGUUCGUAAAGAUUGCACUUCGUAGAUAUUGUCCUAUGAUAGCUUAAUUAUUUCUGAAUCCAGGGAUAAAAAAACCCUAAAAUUUUGCACGCAGGAGGUUUUUUCGCGUUCGACGACUAAUUGUCGAUAAAUGAUCGUGAGAAAAGUCGCAUAAGGUAUCCGAAGGCCUAAUAAUAGUUUUUGUCCGUGUCACGGUUGUGACGUACCUAAAAUAAUAUUUGUCUACAAACAAUAUAGCGAAAUUAAUAGCGGUGUGUUCAAUUUGUUUUUUCAAUAAUACAUUCUGAAAAAGUUAAUACUAUCCAAAAUGAAUGUUUUAACUUAUACUGCACACCCUAUGUAAAAUACUGUUUUCUAUGGGGUUCUCUGUUCCCCUCGAUUUUGACGAUUUUUUCGCGUACCACUUUUUACCAAGGUACAUAUAUAUAUAUAUACAUAUGUAUAUACACAUACAACCUACAUUUUAAUUCUAGGAAAAAUUCAAAUCGAAAAAUUAUAUUACGAUGGUCGAUACGCUUGCGUUUCCUGAGGAGAAAAAAAAAGUAAAGGAAAACUUAAUUUUGCAAGACGAUGCCGGAAAUUAUGCGGCCCCGGUGUCAUUGAGGUUAUUGAUAGCUUCGAGCUAUAGAACGACAUUAAAGGAGGUUUUUUUUUUAUUUUUAUUUUUUUAUUUUACACUUAUCUGUCACCGUUAUACGUCCAAAAUAAAAUUGAACGUGGAGGCGGGAAAGCGAGAAAAUGGAAUCGGACACUAUCUGGUAUCCGAGAUUUUCACUCAAUUAGAUAGUAUAUGGAAUCACUAUACUACUACAACUUCUACAACAUUUUUCAUUGUGAACCGAAAAAUGUAUAAAAUGUGCGAGUGUUUGUGUAUACUUCGGUAUUCCUGUUCAAUUGGAAAUUGGGUCCGAUCUUGUGAAACGUCGACACAUGUGCUGAUGCAAUACAACAUUGUAGCCCGUCUGAAUUUCAAUUCGAUUCUUUUUUUUUUUUUUUUUUACGUGAGAUUUCAUUCUUACCCAUAUCCACGACGUGACGUGACGUGAACCCGGCUUUAAUUUCUUUUCGGUUUUGUUUUACGAUGAUGAAUACAAAGAAAAACGGAAAAAAAAUAAUUUUAUUGUUAUACGAUAUUUUAUUUACAAGAAAUUGCAAUUACCUAAAUACACAUUAAUGUGUGUAUAUUAUUUAGGAGUAACGGUUUUGCAACUUUUACCGCCGCUUUUUGUAUACUUCCAUUAUUUUGUAAUUAUGAUCAACAAUUUAAGUAGUAAGGUACAUCCUUUCAGAUUCC